UUUGGUUAGCUUGCUAACCAGAUAGCGGCGAACGGGUGAGGAAUACUUGGGAAUUUGCCUAUUAGUGGGGGAUAACGUUUCGAAAGGAACGCUAAUACCGCAUACGCCCUACGGGGGAAAGGGGGGGAUCUUCGGACCUCUCGCUAUCAGAUGAGCCCAAGUCGGAUUAGCUAGUUGGUGGGGUAAAGGCUCACCAAGGCGACGAUCCGUAGCUGGUCUGAGAGGAUGAUCAGCCACACUGGAACUGAGACACGGUCCAGACUCCUACGGGAGGCAGCAGUGGGGAAUAUUGGACAAUGGGCGAAAGCCUGAUCCAGCCAUGCCGCGUGUGUGAAGAAGGCCUUCGGGUUGUAAAGCACUUUAAGCGAGGAGGAAUGGCUGAGGGUUAAUAACCUUCAGCAGUGACGUUACUCGCAGAAUAAGCACCGGCUAACUCUGUGCCAGCAGCCGCGGUAAUACAGAGGGUGCAAGCGUUAAUCGGAAUUACUGGGCGUAAGGCGCGCGUAGGCGGUUACGUAAGUUGGAUGUGAAAUCCCCGGGCUCAACCAGGGAAUUGCAUUCAAAACUGCGUGGCUAAAGUGUGGGAGAGGAAGGUAAAAUUCCAGGUGUAGCGGUGAAAUGCGUAGAUUUCUGGAGGAAUACCGAUGGCGAAGGCAGCCUUCUGGCCUAAACACUGACGCUGAGGUGC
This 688-nucleotide ribosomal RNA is filed under the name uncultured Gammaproteobacteria bacterium. Its description in RNAcentral is "bacterial SSU rRNA". It matches the Rfam family "Bacterial small subunit ribosomal RNA", at positions 70 to 754 of the family's 1533-position model. The record is from RNAcentral. Lineage: Bacteria; Pseudomonadati; Pseudomonadota; Gammaproteobacteria.